AUGCCAAGGUACGAGCUGGCGUUGUGGGACUUACUGAUGGUGCUUGCUGGCUGGAAGAAGCCGAGCGCGAGCUUGCCGUUUCUUGAGAUGAGGUUGGUGCCGAUGGCGAGCACUUGGCCUCCUGUAAGAGUAUCACUUGCUGCAGAGGAGCAUGAAGGGGCGUGCAAGAGGAGAAACCCGAACAAUAUGUAG
This 192-nucleotide ribosomal RNA is filed under the name Triticum aestivum (bread wheat). RNAcentral describes it as "partial small subunit ribosomal RNA". The record is from RNAcentral. Lineage: Eukaryota; Viridiplantae; Streptophyta; Magnoliopsida; Poales; Poaceae.